Long non-coding RNA from Lacerta agilis (Sand lizard), 609 nucleotides. RefSeq lists it as uncharacterized. The record is from RefSeq and is a predicted model, not a curated record. NCBI's taxonomy places the organism in Eukaryota, Metazoa, Chordata, Lepidosauria, Squamata, Lacertidae. The transcript has 3 exons.
GGAUGCCACAAUGAUUUACACCAAGGGAGCCUCAAGGAGCAGGGCAGAACAACAGCUGCAUGAGAUCUCUUGGAGCCUUCUCAGAGGGACAUCUUCAAUCACUUGACACGGAUGAAAACAACCAUGGCAGUCCCUUUUAAGAGCGCACUGAAAGAUCGGGCUUUGGUAUCAAGCAAUAUUGGCAUUCCACCGCAUCUGAUCCACCGUAUCCAGUAUCCAGCCUACACUAGUUACACAUCUCCCGUGGUCAAGAAGCUUGCGGAGCAGGACAAAUUAAGAAUUUCCAAGUUGCUGGCAGCACCUCGGAUAAGCAUUCAAGGACUGAGCAGCAGGGAGGGCAGCCUUGCUCACAUCCCCCAGCAGAAGCGCAGCCACGGGUCUCAAGACGUAGGUGUGGCUGCUGAACAAAGUCCAGCAGUGUCACGAUUCAGCAUAGCAACUAGUCCCUUUUACGUUAGCAGGGAAUUCUUUGAUGGUGGCCUGGUCCCCAUAAGCAGCUUUUUCCCAGAGGGAGCCUCAGCUCCAGGUAACUUUGUCAUUUUUGCCAAAAAAAAGGUCCCUUUCCGUGUGUUGCCAAUGAAGCUGCUAGAUGCCUCCAGUAUCAGGAAA